GAGCUCAGUACAAGGCUUAUA
This 21-nucleotide small nuclear RNA is filed under the name Arabidopsis thaliana (thale cress). RNAcentral's name for it is "snRNA_11387". Lineage: Eukaryota; Viridiplantae; Streptophyta; Magnoliopsida; Brassicales; Brassicaceae. The record is from RNAcentral.